RNAcentral lists this ribosomal RNA (392 nucleotides) under uncultured bacterium. RNAcentral describes it as "partial 16S ribosomal RNA". It matches the Rfam family "Bacterial small subunit ribosomal RNA", at positions 523 to 918 of the family's 1533-position model. The record is from RNAcentral.
AUACGGAGGAUCCGAGCGUUAUCCGGAUUUAUUGGGUUUAAAGGGUGCGCAGGCGGCCAUUUAAGUCAGCGGUUAAAUCGUGGGGCUCAACCCCAUUCUGCCGUUGAUACUGGGUGGCUUGAUUGCGGUCGAGGUUGGCGGAAUUCGUUGUGUAGCGGUGAAAUGCGUAGAUAUGACGAAGAACACCGAUUGCGUAGGCAGCUGACCAGACCGCAAAUGACGCUCAUGCACGAAAGUGCGGGGAUCGAACAGGAUUAGAUACCCUGGUAGUCCGCACAGUAAACGAUGAAUACUUGUUUUCGGCGAUAUAAUGUCGGAGGCAAAGCGAAAGCGAUAAGUAUUCCACCUGGGGAGUACGCCGGCAACGGUGAAACUUAAAGGAAUUGACGGGG